RNAcentral lists this long non-coding RNA (1180 nucleotides) under Prunus persica (peach). Its description in RNAcentral is "long non-coding RNA (PPER_LNC003793)". Lineage: Eukaryota; Viridiplantae; Streptophyta; Magnoliopsida; Rosales; Rosaceae. The record is from RNAcentral.
GGGCACUAAAUUAAAAUUGGUUGGUUACUAGUUUAAUGAAUGAACCUUUCUAGCUAUCAUUUGACCAAAAAAAGUUAAAACAAACAGAUGAUGAUGAUCCAUAAUUGGAUAGGGUUAGCCAUUGGCUUGAGUGAGUGAGUCGAUCAGUCCACUACAACCAGAGAUUGAUAGGCUAGUGGGGAGAUUUCUGCUUCCAUGGUCUGUUCGGGAUCCCUUUCCAGGAUUUCCCCAUCAGUGUCCAAGAACCACUUGACCAACUUGUGGUUCUCGGAGUAGGAGGAGUCGAUCACAUCCAAAUACUCUAUAUGUGGUACCACAUCCCCGUACCCUUUUUCCUUGAACUUGCUCUGUAUUGCCUCAUAAUCACUCUCCCAUGGAUGUGCCCAAGCCUCGUCUUCCUUCUGCAACUCCCUCUGUAAUAUUCUCUUAACUUGAAGCCAUGAUAGUAGAUAAGAUGCUUGGAAAAUAUCUUAUUGCACCACUUAAGAUAACUAUAGUGAGAAUCUUCCCUUUACAUGUUCAAUGAAAUCCAAUGGGGGAUAUGAUUUUGGGCUACAAGUUCUCGGAUUUUCAUGUUCUCGGAUCUAAAGUUCAAUUUGAGAUUGUCCCACCCAUCAUGGAACCCGUUAAAAUGAGAAUCCUUCUCUCAUCGGUCUCUUGUUACAUAUUACAAUAUAAGUUGGUUCAAAUCGAAUUUUGGUUCGAUGGUUUAUAAAGUUGGAAGCCAAGCUAUUGAAUUGCCAAAACGACUCCAUUUUUUAUCAGGUUCGAUCCAAAAGUAUCAAACUCAAGAAGUCUGAGUUGGUGAAAAAUAUUCCCUUUGUCCAAAUAAAGGUUAAGACAACUUAUUCUUUUUCUACGAGAAUUGGAAGGAGAGUUGCAGAGGAGAAAAAUGACUUGCUUCAAUGAAGAAGACAGAUCUUGGCAAAAAUAAAAAAAUAAAAAAAAUAAAAAAAAAGAAACAAAUAUUGAGCUUAAUAGGGAGUUUUAAUUACAAUUAUGACAGUUAAUGAAAUGUUUGGAAUAAAUUAUAAAUUAAAUAUGAAAUCUGAUGGCAACAAUGUUUAAACAUAGGAAUACUAUGACCUUAAAGCAUCCACAAUGGGAUCCCUAAACCACCUCCUUAGACAAAUUUUAGGGAGGAAUCGUAGAAAUGCAACUCCAACCACGCUCCCUAUCC